UGGGGAAUAUUGCACAAUGGGCGCAAGCCUGAUGCAGCCAUGCCGCGUGUGUGAAGAAGGCCUUCGGGUUGUAAAGCACUUUCAGCGGGGAGGAAGGCGGUGAGGUUAAUAACCUCAUCGAUUGACGUUACCGACAGAAGAAGCACCGGCUAACUCCGUGCCAGCAGCCGCGGUAAUACGGAGGGUGCAAGCGUUAAUCGGAAUUACUGGGCGUAAAGCGCACGCAGGCGGUUGAUUGAGUCAGAUGUGAAAUCCCCGGGCUUAACCCGGGAAUUGCAUCUGAUACUGGUCAGCUAGAGUCUUGUAGAGGGGGGUAGAAUUCCAUGUGUAGCGGUGAAAUGCGUAGAGAUGUGGAGGAAUACCGGUGGCGAAGGCGGCCCCCUGGACAAAGACUGACGCUCAGGUGCGAAAGCGUGGGGAGCAAACAGG
RNAcentral lists this ribosomal RNA (429 nucleotides) under Chloroflexota bacterium. RNAcentral's name for it is "Chloroflexi bacterium partial 16S ribosomal RNA". It matches the Rfam family "Bacterial small subunit ribosomal RNA", at positions 355 to 776 of the family's 1533-position model. The record is from RNAcentral. Lineage: Bacteria; Bacillati; Chloroflexota.